RNAcentral lists this ribosomal RNA (429 nucleotides) under Chloroflexota bacterium. Its description in RNAcentral is "Chloroflexi bacterium partial 16S ribosomal RNA". It matches the Rfam family "Bacterial small subunit ribosomal RNA", at positions 355 to 776 of the family's 1533-position model. Lineage: Bacteria; Bacillati; Chloroflexota. The record is from RNAcentral.
UGGGGAAUAUUGCACAAUGGGCGCAAGCCUGAUGCAGCCAUGCCGCGUGUAUGAAGAAGGCCUUCGGGUUGUAAAGUACUUUCAGUCGGGAGGAAGGUGUCAAGGUUAAUAACCUUGGCAAUUGACGUUACCGACAGAAGAAGCACCGGCUAACUCCGUGCCAGCAGCCGCGGUAAUACGGAGGGUGCAAGCGUUAAUCGGAAUUACUGGGCAUAAAGCGCACGCAGGCGGUUGAUUGAGUCAGAUGUGAAAUCCCCGGGCUUAACCCGGGAAUUGCAUCUGAUACUGGUCAGCUAGAGUCUUGUAGAGGGGGGUAGAAUUCCAGGUGUAGCGGUGAAAUGCGUAGAGAUCUGGAGGAAUACCGGUGGCGAAGGCGGCCCCCUGGACAAAGACUGACGCUCAGGUGCGAAAGCGUGGGGAGCAAACAGG